Molecule: ribosomal RNA, 497 nt
Filed under: uncultured bacterium
Lineage: Bacteria
Description: partial 16S ribosomal RNA
Rfam family: Bacterial small subunit ribosomal RNA
Source: RNAcentral
GAUGAACGCUGGCGGCGUGCCUAAUACAUGCAAGUCGAGCGAACGGACGAGAAGCUUGCUUCUCUGGUGUUAGCGGCGGACGGGUGAGUAACACGUGGAUAACCUACCUAUAAGACUGGGAUAAUUUCGGGAAACCGGAGCUAAUACCGGAUAAUAUUUUGAACCGCAUGGUUCAAAAGUGAAAGACGGUCUUGCUGUCACUUAUAGAUGGAUCCGCGCUGCAUUAGCUAGUUGGUAAGGUAACGGCUUACCAAGGCAACGAUGCAUAGCCGACCUGAGAGGGUGAUCGGCCACACUGGAACUGAGACACGGUCCAGACUCCUACGGGAGGCAGCAGUAGGGAAUCUUCCGCAAUGGGCGAAAGCCUGACGGAGCAACGCCGCGUGAGUGAUGAAGGUCUUCGGAUCGUAAAACUCUGUUAUUAGGGAAGAACAUAUGUGUAAGUAACUGUGCACAUCUUGACGGUACCUAAUCAGAAAGCCACGGCUAACUACGUG